CAAGAAACGGGGCCGCGUGCGCUCGCCCGCCCGGCCCCGCUCCUUUCCUUGCCUACUGCACCGUUUGUUGCUUCCUGGCGGCGGACUGCCCGCCGCCAGGGACGUUGAUACAACCCUGUAUAGAAGCAUUGAAGCUCUGAGAAAACGCGAAAUCGUA
RNAcentral lists this unclassified non-coding RNA (157 nucleotides) under soil metagenome. Its description in RNAcentral is "partial internal transcribed spacer 1". The record is from RNAcentral.